GCUAGUUCGAACGGAUUUCCUUUUCUUGUAACAAAGUGAUGCAUUUCUAACACCUGUCAUUUAUCUUCUCAGUGAAGAUUCUGGGAGAAUCAGGCUGCUCCCUUGCCAACGUGGAGGUGACCAGUUCGCAGUAUACUUGGUGUAUCAUGGCUAAGCAGUGGGAGGGCCAGGUUUGAGUCAUUCACUCAAGUAUUUUAUGAAGCACCUAUAAGAACCAUAAGCAUGCUGGAGGUUGGGGAGACCUCGCUUCCUUUGGAAAGAAAUAGUUCAAAUAGUUUCAGAUAUUUUGGAAUUUUUGGCAUGGUGAUAUGAUUUUGAUUAUGUUUUUAAAGAGAAUCCUUAUCCAUUUUGGAGAUACACACUCAACUGUUUACAAAGAUGAGAUGAAGUGAUGUCUGAGGGCUUCUUCAGAAUAAUCCUUUUGGCAGAGGUAAGGAGAAAAACGAGGAGGAGAGAGGGGCCAAGAUUGGCAGGUGCUGGUAACCGCUGAAGGUGGGGGAUGGGUUCGAGGAAGUUCGCCCAUCGUACUCUGCUCUCUACUUUUGCAUACAAAAUGUUUAAAAUUGUCCAGACUAAAAAGUUUAAAUAUAUACAUAUAUAUUUUGAAGUUAUAUUCUGGGGGAGGAUGCGUAAAGGACAUUCAUACACACAUAGACACACACACAUACACACACACUAGUUUCCAAUCUGCCUAAAACCCCCUUCAGCAUGUAGAAUACUCAAACAUAAUACGUUAUCAACAGUAUAAUUAGCACUAGUGUCUUUAUCAGUAGGACAUUAUUAGGACUACGGUUUAAUGUUCUGCAAAAAAAAAAGUUUCUUUUUCAGAAACUCCCAAAUACUGUGUUUCUGUGUUGGUGAUUCGCAGGCGUAUUGUCGUAUUAAACAAUCUGAGAGGUCAUGCAGUGAAUAAGCCUGUUUAAUUUCAUUUAACUUAGUGUUUCCAAGCUUGUCUGCAGAAUCCCACCCCCUCCCCAUUUGUUUGCAUAACACUGAUUACCACUGGUAAAUAUCCUGUGGGAUACCAGGGUUCCAUGGAACUCACGGUGGGAAACACUGGUAUGAGCUCUGUCACAGAAUGAGUCAGAUCUUGUGGGCUGUCCUGGGAGUUCAGGCUGCUGUUGAAUAAAGUAGUGUGUGGAGGUUUGACAAAAAGAAGGCUUAGUGUCCUUGUCUCACGCUUCCUUUGUCCACUUUUCUUCUCUCUUUUCUCCCUCCCCAGGGCCCCAGUCACCCACUGCCACACACCUCGAGAACAAAAAGAGGUGGCCUCGUGAGCACAUCCCUCUCUCCCACAGAAGCAGCGUCUCUGACUGGUGUGAACAGGAGGGAGUGGAGACGUUUCCACUCCUUGGGGAUGGGGAUGAAGGCUCGGCUCCCCUCGUUCUCUCUCCACAAUUGCACACAGCUCGGGCCUUCUUAUGUCAAGGAGGGUUUAAGUCAGCAUUUGGCUCUAUCCAAGGGGAGGUAACCGACGAAAUUAAGAAUACGUAUGUAGUCGUGUCUUCUACGUUCAGCAUUCUGAUAUGAUGCAGAUAAAUUGUCUCUGAUUUUCCUCUGGCGACUUGAACUCUUGUUGUAGCUGUGCUUUGAAAAAUACUGUGAAACCUG
Equus caballus (horse) is the source of this 1611-nucleotide long non-coding RNA. The record is from Ensembl. Lineage: Eukaryota; Metazoa; Chordata; Mammalia; Perissodactyla; Equidae.